GUGGGGAAUUUUGGACAAUGGGCGCAAGCCUGAUCCAGCAAUGCCGCGUGCAGGAAGAAGGCCUUCGGGUUGUAAACUGCUUUUGUACGGAACGAAACGGUCCGGGUUAAUACCCUGGGCUAAUGACGGUACCGUAAGAAUAAGCACCGGCUAACUACGUGCCAGCAGCCGCGGUAAUACGUAGGGUGCAAGCGUUAAUCGGAAUUACUGGGCGUAAAGCGUGCGCAGGCGGUUUUGUAAGACAGGCGUGAAAUCCCCGGGCUCAACCUGGGAAUUGCGCUUGUGACUGCAAGGCUGGAGUGCGGCAGAGGGGGAUGGAAUUCCGCGUGUAGCAGUGAAAUGCGUAGAUAUGCGGAGGAACACCGAUGGCGAAGGGAAUCCCCUGGGCCUGCACUGACGCUCAUGCACGAAAGCGUGGGGAGCAAACAGGAUUAGAUACCCGUGUAGUCC
RNAcentral lists this ribosomal RNA (450 nucleotides) under uncultured bacterium. Its description in RNAcentral is "bacterial SSU rRNA". It matches the Rfam family "Bacterial small subunit ribosomal RNA", at positions 354 to 796 of the family's 1533-position model. The record is from RNAcentral.